This 443-nucleotide ribosomal RNA is filed under the name uncultured bacterium. Its description in RNAcentral is "bacterial SSU rRNA". It matches the Rfam family "Bacterial small subunit ribosomal RNA", at positions 958 to 1398 of the family's 1533-position model. The record is from RNAcentral.
AACGCGAAGAACCUUACCUGGAUUUGACAUGUACGUGAAGACAUUAGAGAUAGUGUUGUUUCGCAAGAGACACGUAGACAGGUGCUGCAUGGCUGUCGUCAGCUCGUGCCGUGAGGUGUUGGGUUAAGUCCCGCAACGAGCGCAACCCUUGUCGUUAGUUGCCAGCGAGUAAUGUCGGGCACUCUAACGAGACUGCCUGGGUUAACCAGGAGGAAGGUGAGGAUGACGUCAAGUCCGCAUGGCCUUUAUAUCCAGGGCUACACACGUGCUACAAUGGCAGGUACAGAAGGGGGCAAAACCGAGAGGUGGAGCAAAUCCUGAAAGCCUGCCCCAGUUCGGAUUGAAGUCUGCAACUCGACUUCAUGAAGAUGGAAUUGCUAGUAAUGGCGAGUCAGCAACAUCGCCGUGAAUACGUUCCCGGGCCUUGUACACACCGAGACGUA